UCAAAAUUCAUAAUUGUGGAAGGCUUGAGAAAAGGAAGAGAAAAGAAAACCACUCUAAAAUGGGAAAUUGGUGAACUCCGAACAGAUCUGAGAUUCUGAAGGUCUUGCAGAACAUCGGGACAGAGAUAUCCUCAACAUCCAAGAGGUUGCCGAUGAACGAAAUUAUUAAUCUAUAUCGUUUGAAUGGUAUGACCUUUAAUUUUAUGCAAAUUCUUGAAGUCUUUAAGAUAAUAAUCUGCCGAUUAAGCUUUUUUACUGUUUAGAUCGGCCGUCGAUCUAACAAUGAAGAUGACGGUGUCACUAGCGGCUGCCGUCCGGCGACCCCAAAGCAGCCAGUUUUCAGUUUUCCAGAAAUUAAUACCAUAUAUAUUAGAUUUUUAAUUUAAUUAGAUUUUUAUUUUAGAAAACAGGAAUUUAGCUUCUUCAUUUGUAGAUCUGCAGAGCACCACAAAGACUUAAAACAAUUUGCAUAGAUCUAAAGGUAUUGUCAUCCAAACGGUCUAAAUUGGUCUAAAUUAAUCAUUAACGAAUUUCGUUUAUCGGCGGCCUCUUGGGAUGUUUGAUCGUCUUUGUCUCCGUGUUCUGCAAAGUCUUGAGAAUCUCACUCAUCUGUUUGAGAAUUAGUCAAUUUCCCAUUUUCGAGUGGUUUUGUUUUCUUCUUCCUGAAGAAGAAAGAGGCCCUUUAUAUAGAUCUGAUGAUGAGGGGUUAAUGCCACUUGGAGCCUAAAUUUGCUGCUGCAUACGUGAUUUGAUGGGAUGAGGACGAACAUAUGAUUUGUGAUUUGAUGGGAGAAUGAGGAAACAAAAUCUUGUGUAAACACUCAGAAACUGCUGCGUUGGUCUACUACACUGCAUGAUUGUGUAUCAAAAUUAAGUACCUGUGUCGUUUACAUUCAAUGUUCGGCAUUGGAGAGUGUUGAAGAAGCUUUGAUAAGACUUAAAAAAUUGCACUUGGCAAGUUCUACUUCUGGAAAAGAGCAAUUGAAUGCUUGUUCUGACCUUGAGAAAAGAAGAAAACUUAAGAAAGAGACUGAGUGCCUAUAGGCAUCUUUCAGACCGAAAGCCGUUUCUCUCAAGUAGGCAUCUGUCAGACCAAAAUAAUGGAGAUCGAGGUGCUGACAAAGUUGAUGUUCCCAAAUAUUCUCAAGAUCCUUUGCAAGGAAUUGACAGUCCAAUGACUAGGGCAAAGACAAAGAGGAUGAAAGAGGUUUUGCAAGGCUUGAUCAUGA
Molecule: long non-coding RNA, 1229 nt
Organism: Pistacia vera
Lineage: Eukaryota; Viridiplantae; Streptophyta; Magnoliopsida; Sapindales; Anacardiaceae
Exons: 3
Source: RefSeq, a predicted model, not a curated record